GAGAAGACUGGUCUUGAUGUUCUGGUUCUUAGCUGGCGACUUGAUCCAAUGUAAAGGGCUUAGAUUGCUUCAUUUGAAUUGAAUGGAUAGGAUGAGUCAAGGCUGUAAAGGUAAAGCACCUUUACCUUUCCAGCUCAUACCAACAGCUCACCUUAUCCAUUUGAAUCUUCCCUUGCCUCCAAGAGUCUCCAACGGUCACAUGAUUCAAACUAAGUCGCGCCCACACAUUGCACAACUUGGGCAAGGCUGAUCCGGAUGAUGGCCGAACUGGAUAGGUUGUACGGACGCUGUACGGCCUUGAGGUCCGUACACUCGCCCUAUGCCUUCAUCUAACUUCCUUCUAAGGUUGACCCUUACAACGCCCUAUCUUUGCACCAUACUUCCAUCUUCUCUCUAACUCCUCCAAAGCCUUCAUAUGAUCAGUAUAAGUCUUUCCUAGACUUAACCUCACAAGAUAACUACUUCAGAACACUUCUGAAGCUUGAUUGAACUCUUCUAGACAUCUUCUAGAGCUUGCCCUAUUAUUGUACAAGCUCCAUCUCCUCUUCAGUUCAACACUCCCCCUCAAGCUUGACUUUAGGAGAUCCUAAGCCAAGCUUGGAACUCUGAAGAGUCUCCCUCAUUAAAAACCUUACAAGGAAAACCCAUUGGGACAAAACCUUGCAAGGGAAAAAGAGUAGAGCUCUCCAAAGCCUAGGGAUUGGCCAGUGAGCUCUUGUGCCUUAGAACCAAUGUGGUUGGACACAAGAAGCUCUGGAUCACGGCCUAACAGGUGCAGCAACUCUUCACAGCUUUGCGCACACUUCACACUUCACACUUCAGCUUCACCUCUUCAUGGAACCGGUUUGAAGUCUCCCCCUCUCAACUGACUUCAUAGCCAUCUUAGAGAAGCUAGGACACGACCAGAUCAUCUUUGAAACACUAGUGAGGCUGAUCAACACUUCACACACGGCUUGCCCUCUUCAUAGAACUGGUUUGGAUCUCCCCCUCUCAACAGACUUCUCAGCCAUCUUAGAGAAGCUAGGAACUGACCAGGAACAUCUUUAGUGAGGCUCAAGCAAUGGUACCUGAUACAUUAUCCCAAAGGUGCAUCAGUACCUAUCAAAGACAAGAAAAUGAAUAUCCUGCAUCACAUUUGAUGCACACAAUCUCACAAUUCAAUCAUAAUCAUCUUAAGUAUCUUUUCAAGCACAAGUAAUGAAUAAGAUGAAUGAAAAAGAUUGAAAAGAGUUUUAAAAGUCUAAGGGAACUUCCCUUGUGUUUUUGUGAGUUUCCAAACUCGGCCAAAGCAUCAUCUUCAUGGCAUCAUCAACUUCUUGG
This 1320-nucleotide long non-coding RNA is filed under the name Brassica rapa (field mustard). RNAcentral describes it as "long non-coding RNA (BRAP_LNC008587)". The record is from RNAcentral. Lineage: Eukaryota; Viridiplantae; Streptophyta; Magnoliopsida; Brassicales; Brassicaceae.